Molecule: transfer RNA, 74 nt
Filed under: Flavobacteriaceae bacterium
Lineage: Bacteria; Pseudomonadati; Bacteroidota; Flavobacteriia; Flavobacteriales; Flavobacteriaceae
Description: tRNA-Asn
Rfam family: tRNA
About the family: Transfer RNA (tRNA) molecules are approximately 80 nucleotides in length. Their secondary structure includes four short double-helical elements and three loops (D, anti-codon, and T loops).
Source: RNAcentral
ACCUCCUUAGCUCAGUUGGUUAGAGCAUCUGACUGUUAAUCAGAGGGUCCUUGGUUCGAGCCCAAGAGGAGGAG